RNAcentral lists this ribosomal RNA (460 nucleotides) under uncultured bacterium. RNAcentral describes it as "partial 16S ribosomal RNA". It matches the Rfam family "Bacterial small subunit ribosomal RNA", at positions 338 to 795 of the family's 1533-position model. The record is from RNAcentral.
CCUACGGGAGGCUGCAGUGAGGAAUAUUGGUCAAUGGACGAGAGUCUGAACCAGCCAAGUAGCGUGAAGGAUGACUGCCCUAUGGGUUGUAAACCUCUUUUAUAUGGGAAUAAAAUGUUGCACGUGUGGGGUUUUGUGUGUACCCUAUGAAUAAGGAUCGGCUAACUCCGUGCCAGCAGCCGCGGUAAUACGGAGGAUCCGAGCGUUAUCCGGAUUUAUUGGGUUUAAAGGGUGCGUAGGUGGAGUGUUAAGUCAGUGGUGAAAGUUUGCGGCUCAACCGUAAAAUUGCAGUUGAAACUGGCAGUCUUGAGUACAGUAGAGGUGUGCGGAAUUCGUGGUGUAGCGGUGAAAUGCUUAGAUAUCACGAAGAACUCCGAUUGCGAAGGCAGUUCACUGGACUGCAACUGACACUGAGGCUCGAAAGUGUGGGUAUCAAACAGGAUUAGAUACCCUAGUAGUC